AUGAGGAUACAAAAACACGAUUUCGUUUUAAUAGAUGAUGAACUAAAAUGCAGAUUAAUAAAAAUUGUUGACGCUAAAAUAAAGAUAAAAGGAAAUUUUAUAAAUUUACUAUUUCUUGUUAAUAAGAAAUAUGGUUCUACCUUUACUUAUAUGAAUAAAAAAUGGAUAAGAAGUGCAAAAAAAAAAUCAAGGCUAGAAAUAGAGCAAAAUGAAGAUAUAAAAGAAACAAAUGAACAUAUUGCUUAUAAUAGUAAUUCGCAAAUGCUUACAGAAGAAAAUAUUUUAAAAUUAAAAGAAGAAAAUCCCGAAAAUCCUUAUGAUGUUAUACAAAAACUUGUAGAUAAUUCAACAUCUUAUAAUGAAAAAACAGUUAUAUCAAAAUUUAAAUAUGUCCAAAAAAAAAUAAAAAGACAUUUUUGUCAAUUUACUGUAUAUGAAUGUUCUAUCCUUAACUUAAUAAAUUUUUAUUAUAAAAUACAUCCUGAGAAAGUUUCGAAUGUACGUGCUGAUUAUUUAGCAAAUAUAAUUUUCCAUUUAAAUAGGGAUUUGUAUUACAAGAAUGAAAAAGAAGAAGAAGAUGAUGAUGAUGAUGAUAAAAAGCAAAAUGAUAAAAUAGAAAAAAAUGUAUAUGAAAAAGAUGACAAUAGCUUACUCGGUAAUACUCACAUAAUAAAUAAAAAUAACGAAGUAGAUAAUAAACAUGAAGAAUAUUAUAAUGUAGAAGUAAAAAGUGAUAAAGAAAAAAAAUAUAUAGGUGAUAAUAUAUUAGAAGAAGUAAAUGUAGAUGAUGACAUAUUUUUUAAACGUAAUAUUUUAAUUUAUGAUGAUUCACAAGGACUUUUAUCAGGUGUCAUUAACAUUAUUUAUAAAAAUAAUGUUAAUAUAUUUUCUUUAAUUUAUAAAAAUUAUUGUAAUACAAUUACGUCCAGUUUUGGAGUUAAAAAAUAUUCUAAUGUUGUACACAUAAAUAUAUUAAAUUCAAAUAAACAUUCACAACAGAAAAAAUAUAUACAGCUUAAUAGUGAUUUCAAUUUCGUUUAUCCUUCUGGUGAAGUAGCACACAAUAAUGUAGAAGAAAGUGUAGGAGAUAAAUGUAUAGUAAAAACAGCAGAUACAGAUUUGCAAAAAAUAAAAGCUAAGUUAUACCCUAACGACAAAACGGAGAGUAAUGUAUCUAUUAGCUCUAAUAAUGUUAAUAACAAAGAUGAGAAAAACAAACUUCCAGGAGAAUAUUCAACUAGCUAUCCAUUGGAUUAUUUACCAGAAAAUGACAAAAGUAGUUGUAAUAAUAAUAUCAACUAUAACAAUACAGCUGAACAGACUGUAAUGAAUUUAGAUAUUCCAAUGACAAAUACAGACGAUGUAUUGACAACCACAAACUGUACUACUUUCGAUGGAUGUACCGAAACAACAAAAAAAAGAAAAAUGGGACACAAUGAAGAUUAUACUAGUAAUAAUAUGACUAGUAAUAACACAAAAAGAAACAAUAAUGAUAGUAAAAGUGAUAGUAAUAAUAAUUAUGUAAACUUUAAUACAUCAACUAUUAUAGAUAUAAAUAACAUGGAAAAAGAAUUAAUAUAUGACAUAUGUACAAAAAAGGCAGAAGCAUUUGUUAUAAUAAUUUCAAGUGAUUUUUUAUAUAAAACUAAAACAAAUGUGUACAUAUUAGUUGAUACAUUAAUAAAAAUAUCAUUAAAAUAUUUAAAUAAUGAUAGUAAAAUAAUUAUACAAACAGAUGAUUUUAAUAUAUCUAAUUUGUUUAUCAAAUUUUUAAUACAUACGAAUUCUUUUAUAAACAUUAAAUUAAAUGAAUAUAUUUUAAGAGAACAACAGAUUGUUAAAAGAAGAACACACCCUGUAAUUAAAAACUCAAAAUUAGCUGAUGGGUUUUUAUUAACUGCUUUGAAAGUUUUAAGUUAG
Long non-coding RNA from Piliocolobus tephrosceles (Ugandan red Colobus), 1920 nucleotides. The record is from Ensembl. Lineage: Eukaryota; Metazoa; Chordata; Mammalia; Primates; Cercopithecidae.